AUUUUACAGAUGAGGAAGCUGAGGCUUAGCUAAGAAGCUAAGUGACUGGCCCUAAGUCACACAAGAGCUUUUGCUGGGAAGACGGCAAACAAGCUGAUGGAUGCCCUAAAGGACUCCGACCUCCUGCACUGGAAACACAGCCUGUCAGAGCUCAUCGAUAUCAGCAUCGCACAGAAAACGGCCAUCUGGAGGCUGUAUGGCCGCAGGUAGGUCUCCCAAGGCCCUGGGGGUGUGAAUUCUUUAGAGAGAAGCAGGAGCUAGCAAG
Molecule: non-coding RNA, 265 nt
Filed under: Pan troglodytes (chimpanzee)
Lineage: Eukaryota; Metazoa; Chordata; Mammalia; Primates; Hominidae
Also listed under: 1 other name
Source: RNAcentral